This 384-nucleotide ribosomal RNA is filed under the name Triticum aestivum (bread wheat). RNAcentral describes it as "partial small subunit ribosomal RNA". Lineage: Eukaryota; Viridiplantae; Streptophyta; Magnoliopsida; Poales; Poaceae. The record is from RNAcentral.
AUGUCAAGUAUCUUUUCCUUAGACCAUGAGAUCGUGCAACUCCCGGAUACCGUAGGAGUGCUUUGGGUGUGCCAAACGUCACAACGUAACUGGGUGACUAUAAAGGUGCAUUACGGGUAUCUCCGAAAGUGUCUGUUGGGUUGGCACGGAUCGAGACUGGAUUUGUCACUCCGUGUGACGGAGAGGUAUCUCUGGGCCCACUCGGUAAUGCAUCAUCAUAAUGAGCUCAAUGUGACUAAGGCGUUAGUCACGGGAUCAUGCAUUGCGGUACGAGUAAGAGACUUGCCGGUAACGAGAUUGAACAAGGUAUUGGGAUACCGACGAUCGAAUCUCGGGCAAGUAACGUACCGUUUGACAAAGGGAAUUGCAUACGGGAUUGAUUGA